GACGAACGCUGGCGGCGUGCCUAAUACAUGCCAGUUGAGCGCUGAAGGUUGGUACUUGUACCAACUGGAUGAGCAGCGAACGGGUGAGUAACGCGUGGGGAAUCUGCCUUUGAGCGGGGGACAACAUUUGGAAACGAAUGCUAAUACCGCAUAAAAACUUUAAACACAAGUUUUAAGUUUGAAAGAUGCAAUUGCAUCACUCAAAGAUGAUCCCGCGUUGUAUUAGCUAGUUGGUGAGGUAAAGGCUCACCAAGGCGAUGAUACAUAGCCGACCUGAGAGGGUGAUCGGCCACAUUGGGACUGAGACACGGCCCAAACUCCUACGGGAGGCAGCAGUAGGGAAUCUUCGGCAAUGGACGAAAGUCUGACCGAGCAACGCCGCGUGAGUGAAGAAGGUCUUCGGAUCGUAAAACUCUGUUGGUAGAGAAGAACGUUGGUGAGAGUGGAAAGCUCAUCAAGUGACGGUAACUACCCAGAAAGGGACGGCUAACUACGUG
RNAcentral lists this ribosomal RNA (497 nucleotides) under uncultured bacterium. RNAcentral describes it as "partial 16S ribosomal RNA". It matches the Rfam family "Bacterial small subunit ribosomal RNA", at positions 28 to 507 of the family's 1533-position model. The record is from RNAcentral.